This 374-nucleotide ribosomal RNA is filed under the name uncultured bacterium. RNAcentral describes it as "bacterial SSU rRNA". It matches the Rfam family "Bacterial small subunit ribosomal RNA", at positions 525 to 896 of the family's 1533-position model. The record is from RNAcentral.
ACGGAGGGUGCAAGCGUUGUUCGGAUUUACUGGGCGUAAAGGGCGCGUAGGCGGCAUUAUAAGCCAGAUGUGAAAGCCCACGGCUCAACCGUGGAAGGGCAUCUGGAACUGUAAGGCUUGAGUAUGGGAGAGGAAAGUGGAAUUCCCGGUGUAGAGGUGAAAUUCGUAGAUAUCGGGAGGAAUACCGGUGGCGAAGGCGACUUUCUGGACCAAUACUGACGCUGAGGCGCGAAAGCGUGGGUAGCAAACAGGAUUAGAUACCCUGGUAGUCCACAGCUGUAAACGAUGAUAACUAGGUAUAGGGGGAGUUGACCCCUUCUGUGCCGCAGCUAACGCAUUAAGUUAUCCGCCUGGGGAGUACGGUCGCAAGAUUA